This 484-nucleotide ribosomal RNA is filed under the name uncultured bacterium. RNAcentral's name for it is "partial 16S ribosomal RNA". It matches the Rfam family "Bacterial small subunit ribosomal RNA", at positions 30 to 507 of the family's 1533-position model. The record is from RNAcentral.
AUUGAACGCUGGCGGCAGGCCUAACACAUGCAAGUCGAGCGGAUGAUGUGAGCUUGCUCCUGGAUUCAGCGGCGGACGGGUGAGGAAUGCCUAGGAAUCUGCCUGUUAGUGGGGGAUCACGUCCGGAAACGUGCGCUAAUACCGCAUACGUUCUGAGGGAGAAAUUGGGGGAUCUUCGGACCUCACGCUAUCAGAUGAGCCUAGGUCGGAUGAUCUAGUUGGUGGGGUAAAGGCCUACCAAGGCGACGAUCCGGAACUGGUCUGAGAGGAGGAUAAGUCACACUGGAACUGGGACACGGUCCAGACUCCUACGGGAGGAAGAAGUGGGGAAUAUUGGACAAUGGGGGAAAGCCUGAUCCAGACCGGCCGGGUGUGUGAAGAAGGUCUUCGGAUUGAAAAGUACUUUAAGUUGGGAGGACGGGCAGUAAGGUAAAAAGUUGAUGUUUUGACGUUACCAACAGAAUAAGCACCGGCUAACUUCGUG